This is a long non-coding RNA of Gadus morhua (Atlantic cod), 1668 nucleotides long. NCBI's taxonomy places the organism in Eukaryota, Metazoa, Chordata, Actinopteri, Gadiformes, Gadidae. The record is from Ensembl.
CGCACUCCUAAACGUUGACAUGGCUGAGGGGAAACGAGCUAAGACCUACCAUUUUCACCCUGAGUGGGAGGAAGAUUAUUUUUUUGUUUAUUCUCAUUCAAAGCCUGUUAGUUUGAUCUGCAAUGCAACGGUGGCGUUGGCAAAGAAAGGGAAUCUGGAGCGGCAUUUUAAAACUGUACACGGGAAAAAGUGUUGUGAGGUUAGUUACUGCAGGCUGGGAACGAUGCGUGUGGGUUUGCAAUGUUGACACUAGACUGGUCGAUUUCGGGAGGUUGGCUACUUGAAAAGUAGAUCUUGAGUCAAAAAAAGGUUGGGCACCCCUGCUGUAGGCACAUUCAGUGCGUUUACAUGACACUCAAGAAAGUCAAAUUAUUGGCUUAGUCCGAGGCUUUUAGACGUUUCCCACCAAGCGUGGUUAUUUGACCGGGAAAAAAUGUAUCUAUAUUUUUUGUAUUUUUUUUAAGGGCUUUUAGCCGUUUCUACUGAUCAAGUUGCAUCCAGAUAUUUUUUCACCUUCAUGAUUGUUCCACAACGGUGUGCAUAUGUAGAAUCCAUUAAAUCUGAUGGAUUCUGAAUUGAUUUCAUGCAAAAAUGAAUUUGCAUGCAAUUAUUCUGAGGAAUAACUGCUUGAUGUUAAAGGGCUUUAAGUUAAUCAAUAACAUAUCCCCAGCUUCUAUAUGCUACUGUCAAAGUGCUGUGCUGUAGAUGAUAAAAUUGUCUCAUCUCUGAUUUUACAGGUGCCAUCAUGUUGAUAAAAACUAAAAUAAAUAUGGAACAAAAAUAUGUCAGGAUAACUGAGCCAAACUUGGAAGAAUUCUUGGAUGCUGCUUUCAUGAAGUUCUCCAUCCCACCACCCACUGAAGGCGUCACAGUGUAUGAUAAGACGGGAACGGAGGUGGACGCAGACGUCUUUGAAGACGUUGCACAGCAGCCAAAUGCUGGUGUAUUUACAAUCAGAUUCAAACACACAUUGGAGGGAGCAACAGGCAGUUCACUGCCUGAUGCAGCACUGGAACUUUCUAACUACAACCCUGAAGAUUCAGUCAUCCUAGAACUUUUAUCUUGCACUUCUGAUGACACCAUCAUCCUGGAGGAGGAUUCAAGUCCAUCUGCAAAAAGGCAGAAACAAGACCGAGAUGCCAAACACGUAUGUUGAUGUGUAUAAUGUUUGAUGUGGCAGAUUCCUUUGGGGAUUGCUCACUUUUUAUUGUAUUUUCUGUGUUUCACAGUUAGUUGAAUCAGCCCUGGCUAAGAAACCAGGUUGAGACUGCAUUGUGAAAGAAUACAACAGGACAAAAGGUCUAACUGACUCUUCACGGCGACAGAUGGUGAACAUCCUUGCUGCCGACAUGACUGAAACUCAUGGGUAAGAGAAACUUUACUGGACUCUUGUUAGUAAAAUCUGAUUUGGCUGUUCAAUCACACCUCUCUGCUUUCAUCAGUUAGUUUUGUUUUUAUUUAUAGACUUAGUUCGUAAACUUUAAACAUUCCAUCUUAGUAGACUUUUUUGUUAUUGUUAUUUUACCCGUUGCAGGAUGGCACCGCCACGGCAUGUCAGAGAGAUGUAUGCCAAAGGCAUAGUUUCCAUGUUCCCGUACCUGAUGGAUCCAUAUUCCAAAAAUGGAUAUGCAAGUAUUUUUAUGCAUUCAAACAAAUAUACAGAAACUA